Molecule: ribosomal RNA, 225 nt
Filed under: Demequina sp. B12
Lineage: Bacteria; Bacillati; Actinomycetota; Actinomycetes; Micrococcales; Demequinaceae
Description: partial 23S ribosomal RNA
Rfam family: Bacterial large subunit ribosomal RNA
Source: RNAcentral
AGUCGACCCCUAAGGCGAGGCCGAAAGGCGUAGUCGAUGGGAAAAUGGUUAAUAUUCCAUUACUUCUGUGUAAUGCGAUGAGAGGACGGAGAAGGCUAAAUCAGCCUGGCGUUGGUUGUCCAGGUGAAAGGAUGUAGGCAUGUAUCUUAGGCAAAUCCGGGGUACUCUAUGCUGAGAUCUGAUAGCAAGCUGUACUUGUACAGCGAAGUGGUUGAUGCCAUGCUU